UGCGUAGGCAGCGAGCGUUGUUCGGAGUUACUGGGCGUAAAGGGUGUGUAGGCGGUUCUUUAAGUUUGGUGUGAAAUCUCCCGGCUCAACCGGGAGGGUGCGCCGAAUACUGAGGAACUAGAGUACGGGAGAGGAAAGUGGAAUUCCUGGUGUAGCGGUGAAAUGCGUAGAUAUCAGGAGGAACACCGGUGGUGUAGACGGCUUUCUGGACCGUAACUGACGCUGAGACACGAAAGCGUGGGUAGCAAACAGG
RNAcentral lists this ribosomal RNA (253 nucleotides) under uncultured bacterium. RNAcentral describes it as "partial 16S ribosomal RNA". It matches the Rfam family "Bacterial small subunit ribosomal RNA", at positions 524 to 776 of the family's 1533-position model. The record is from RNAcentral.